RNAcentral lists this small nuclear RNA (29 nucleotides) under Cervus elaphus hippelaphus. The record is from RNAcentral. Lineage: Eukaryota; Metazoa; Chordata; Mammalia; Artiodactyla; Cervidae.
UGCUCACUUCAGCAGCACAUAUACUAAAA